Molecule: long non-coding RNA, 454 nt
Filed under: Cricetulus griseus (Chinese hamster)
Lineage: Eukaryota; Metazoa; Chordata; Mammalia; Rodentia; Cricetidae
Description: lncRNA (ENSCGRG00015037192.1)
Source: RNAcentral
AAACCACUCUAGUUCCUGAGGGGCACCUGGCAGGAUUACAAAUAAUAAGAGUUUUAAAAAUCAAGAAACACUAUUCAUUGUAACGUGGGAAAAUAAUGUUGCAUCACUCAAGACUAUCAUUCAAAACUGCCUAAUAAAAUAGGCACCCAUGGGUAAAGUCUUUGCCACCAAGCUGACAACUUGAGUUCUCCAGGACCUACAUGGUAGCAGGAGAGGAUCAACUUUUACAAGUUGUUCUCUGGCCUGCACAGAAGUACCAUGGCACACAUUAUACUUCCUCACAAAUAAAUUGGCUUCUCCUACGCAAAAGCAGAGUUCAGUCUCCUAGAAACACAUCAGUUAAAACUCCAGAAUAUCUGACACCCUCUUCUACAUGGGUGGCAAAACACACCUAUGCAUAUACACAAAUGAAAAUUGAUCAUUAAAAGAAGUACAUAUAGAAUGCUAAGUUUAG